This 67-nucleotide transfer RNA is filed under the name Scaptodera rhadamistus. Its description in RNAcentral is "tRNA-His". Lineage: Eukaryota; Metazoa; Arthropoda; Insecta; Coleoptera; Scarabaeidae. The record is from RNAcentral.
AUUUAAGUAGUUUAAAUAAAAUUUUGAUUUGUGGAGUCAAAGAUAUAUUAUGUUAAUAUCUUAAAUA